GUGAGAUGGCUCAGCGGCUAAGAGCACUGACUGCUCUUCAGAAGGCCCUGAGUUCAAAUCCCAGCAAUCACA
This 72-nucleotide transfer RNA is filed under the name Mus musculus (house mouse). RNAcentral describes it as "tRNA-Ser". Lineage: Eukaryota; Metazoa; Chordata; Mammalia; Rodentia; Muridae. The record is from RNAcentral.